AAGCUAGGACGACCUAGCCUCUUUACUUACAGGGGACGACCUC
This 43-nucleotide non-coding RNA is filed under the name Aliarcobacter thereius. RNAcentral describes it as "Arcobacter thereius Guanidine-II sequence". It matches the Rfam family "Guanidine-II riboswitch aptamer (mini-ykkC)". Rfam says of the family: Simpler in structure and has fewer highly conserved nucleotide positions than the ykkC-yxkD leader. Despite this each of its two stem-loop structures directly bind free guanidine. The record is from RNAcentral. Lineage: Bacteria; Pseudomonadati; Campylobacterota; Epsilonproteobacteria; Campylobacterales; Arcobacteraceae.